UGCCUAUACAGGUGGCCUUAUUUUCCAAAUGUAUGAUUUAGCUAUUGAGCUUAAAUAUUUCAAUGAAAUGAAAACUGUUUAUCCGAUAAAAUAUUUUGUGCACUCUGCUCUGUUUAAGGCUCGCAUAAGUUAAUCGAUCGAGGUUCUCUCUUGACCUAACACGUUAUUUGAGAAUUGUGUACACCUAUUAGCUGACUCGGUGGGUUGAUCUCCAUUCGGGCACUAAUCAUGUAUGAGGCGUUAUAAGGGUGCUCGACGGGAUGUGUUCCGGAGCAUUGGGUCCCAAAUGGGAGCUUGGCUGGGUUACGCCCUCAGUCCAAGUAAAGCAGGAGUAAUGGAUCCGUCGGUGGCUAAAAGGUCCGGGAUCACAGCGAGUAACGGAAAGGGAGUGUGACAUGUGCGCACAAAUGAAAAUUAUUUUAACAUGCUUAGAAGUUAUUUCAAUUUAAAACCUUCUAAGUCAUGUCAAGUAUAAUUGGAUAAACUGCUCUUAUGAUUAUGAAAUGUUUAUAAAAAUGCUAGCCCACUAAGUAUAUUAGUACUUAGCCCAAAAUUACUUUCAAAUGUUUUCAGGUUGAUUGGUCGGUGCUGACGGGGCAGAGCUGAGGCUAGGGUUCAACUCCGUAUUUUGUCUUCCGCUGUUGCACUAGCUCUUAUUUGUCUUAUGUUUCUCUAACUUAAGACCUUUAUGUUAAAUUCUGAAUUAUGUUUCUUAUCGAGCGUAGACUCUCAACUUCUAGCUCUAUGUUAUUUAACGUUGGUUAUCAGAAGCAUGAAACCAAACUUGUGAUCCUGAAGUUUAGAAUGUUGUUGAUUGAUUAGUAUCACUUGAUUUCUAUCUUUCUUCAUUCAAAGGGCGUCGCCCAACCUUUUU
This 874-nucleotide long non-coding RNA is filed under the name Salvia miltiorrhiza (redroot sage). RNAcentral's name for it is "long non-coding RNA (SMIL_LNC006559)". The record is from RNAcentral. Lineage: Eukaryota; Viridiplantae; Streptophyta; Magnoliopsida; Lamiales; Lamiaceae.